UACGUAGGGUGCGAGCGUUAAUCGGAAUUACUGGGCGUAAAGCGUGCGCAGGCGGUUUUGUAAGCCAGAUGUGAAAGCCCCGGGCUUAACCUGGGAAUGGCAUUUGGGACUGCAAGGCUUGAGUGCGGCAGAGGAGACUGGAAUUCCUGGUGUAGCAGUGAAAUGCGUAGAUAUCAGGAGGAAUACCGAUGGCGAAGGCAGGUCUCUGGGCUGACACCGACGCUCAUGCACGAAAGCGUGGGGAGCAAACAGG
Molecule: ribosomal RNA, 253 nt
Filed under: uncultured bacterium
Lineage: Bacteria
Description: partial 16S ribosomal RNA
Rfam family: Bacterial small subunit ribosomal RNA
Source: RNAcentral